This 468-nucleotide ribosomal RNA is filed under the name uncultured bacterium. RNAcentral describes it as "partial 16S ribosomal RNA". It matches the Rfam family "Bacterial small subunit ribosomal RNA", at positions 28 to 507 of the family's 1533-position model. The record is from RNAcentral.
GACGAACGCUGGCGGCGUGCUUAACACAUGCAAGUCGAACGGAAAAACCCUGCUUUUGUGGGGUUCUCGAGUGGCGAACGGGUGAGUAACACGUGUGUAACCUCCCCUUGACUUUGGGAUAACUUCAGGAAACUGGGGCUAAUACAGGAUAGGAGCUCCUGCAGCAUGGUGGGGGAUGGAAAGUUUCGGCUGUUGUGGAUGGACUAGCGGCUUAUCGGCUUGAUGGUGGGGUAGUGGAGUACCAAGGCUUUGACGGGUAGCCGGCCUGAGAGGGUUACCGGCCACAUGAGGACUGCGAUACGGAGCAGACGGGUAUGGGAGGCAACGGUGGGGAGUAUGGCGCAGUGGCGGGAAGCCUGAUGCGGCAACGCCGCGUGCGGGAUGACCGCCUUCGGGUUGUAAACCGCUUUCGACUGUGACGUAGCGUGAGUGACGGUAAUGGGUAAAGAAGCAACGGCUAACUACGUG